AUUGAACGCUGGCGGCAGGCCUAACACAUGCAAGUCGAGCGGUAGGGAGAAGCGUGCUUCUCUUGAGAGCGGCGGACGGGUGAGUAAAGCCUAGGAAUCUGCCUGGUAGGGGGGGAUAACGUUCGGAAACGGGCGCUAAUACCGCAUACGUCCUACGGGAGAAAGCAGGGGACCUUCGGGCCUUGCGCUAUCAGAUGAGCCUAGGUCGGAGUAGCUAGUUGGUGAGGUAAUGGCUCACCAAGGCGACGAUCCGUAACUGGUCUGAGAGGAUGAGCAGUCACACUGGAACUAGGACACGGUCCAGACUCCUACGGGAGGCAGCAGUGGGGAAGAUUGGACAAUGGGCGAAAGCCUGAUCCAGCCAUGCCGCGUGUGUGAAGAAGGUCUUCGGAUUGUAAAGCACUUUAAGUUGGGAGGAAGGGCAUUAACCUAAUACGUUAGUGUUUUGACGUUACCGACAGAAUAAGCACCGGCUAACUCUGUGCCAGCCGCCGCCGUAA
RNAcentral lists this ribosomal RNA (500 nucleotides) under uncultured bacterium. RNAcentral's name for it is "partial 16S ribosomal RNA". It matches the Rfam family "Bacterial small subunit ribosomal RNA", at positions 30 to 523 of the family's 1533-position model. The record is from RNAcentral.